UGGGGAAUAUUGCGCAAUGGGGGAAACCCUGACGCAGCGACGCCGCGUGCGGCACGAAGGCCUUCGGGUUGUAAACCGCUUUUGAUUGGGAGCAAGCUUUCGGGUGAGUGUACCUUUCGAAUAAGCGCCGGCUAACUACGUGCCAGCAGCCGCGGUAAUACGUAGGGCGCAAGCGUUAUCCGGAAUUAUUGGGCGUAAAGAGCUCGUAGGCGGUUUGUCGCGUCUGCUGUGAAAGACCGGGGCUUAACUCCGGGGCUGCAGUGGGUACGGGCAGGCUGGAGUGCGGUAGGGGUAACCGGAAUUCCUGGUGUAGCGGUGGAAUGCGCAGAUAUCAGGAGGAACACCGAUGGCGAAGGCAGGUUCCUGGGCCGUUACUGACGCUGAGGAGCGAAAGCAUGGGGAGCGAACAGG
This 411-nucleotide ribosomal RNA is filed under the name Verrucomicrobiota bacterium. RNAcentral's name for it is "Verrucomicrobia bacterium partial 16S ribosomal RNA". It matches the Rfam family "Bacterial small subunit ribosomal RNA", at positions 355 to 776 of the family's 1533-position model. The record is from RNAcentral. Lineage: Bacteria; Pseudomonadati; Verrucomicrobiota.